This 2392-nucleotide ribosomal RNA is filed under the name oral metagenome. Its description in RNAcentral is "bacterial LSU rRNA". It matches the Rfam family "Bacterial large subunit ribosomal RNA", at positions 14 to 2530 of the family's 2925-position model. The record is from RNAcentral.
AGGGCGCAGGGCGAAUGCCUUGGCACUAGGAGCCGAAGAAGGACGUGAUAAGCUGCGAAAAGUCUCGGGGAGGAGCAAAUAUCUUGUGAUCCGGGAAUGUCCGAAUGGGGAAACCUACUUGAGCAAACCUCAAGUAUCCUAUUGUGAAUACAUAGCAAUAGGAGGGGAGAGCACGUGAACUGAAACAUCUAAGUAGCGUGACGAAAAGAAAGAGAAUUCGAUUUUCUAAGUAGCGGCGAGCGAACGGGAAAGAGCCCAACUGAAGUUAAUAUAAUGAGUAUGUAGUAGAAUGGUCUGGGAAGGCCAACCGAAGAGAGUGAGAGUCUCGUAAACGAAACGUAUGAGUUGUAGACUUCGAAAGAGUAGCAUGGGACACGAGAAAUCCUGUGUGAAUAUGGGGGGACCACCCCCUAAGGCUAAAUACUACCUAGUGACCGAUAGAGAAUAGUACCGUGAGGGAAAGGUGAAAAGAACCCCGGGAGGGGAGUGAAAUAGAACCUGAAACCCUGCGCCUACAAGCAGAUAGAGCUAUCUUGAAUAGUGAUAUCGUACUUUUUGUAGAACGGGCCAGCGAGUUAUGAUGUGCGGCAAGGUUAAGUUGUGAAGCAACGGAGCCGUAGGGAAACCGAGUCUGAAUAGGGCGAGAGUCGUAUGUCAUAGACCCGAAACCAGGUGAUCUAUCCAUGAGCAGGUUGAAGUGAAAGUAAAAUUUCAUGGAGGACCGAACCGGGUAACGUUUAAAAGUUAUCGGAUGACUUGUGGAUAGGGGUGAAAAGCCAAUCGAACUUGGAGAUAGCUGGUUCUCCUCGAAAUAGCUUUAGGGCUAGCCUCAAUUUAGUUUACAGGGGGUAGAGCACUGAAUUCUGUAGGGGCAUUAUAUGUUACCGAAAGAUAUCAAACUCCGAAUACCUGAUAAAUGAUGAUUGGGAGUCAGACUAUGUGGGAUAAGCUUCAUAGUCAAAAGGGAAAGAGCCCAGACCACCAGCUAAGGUCCCUAAAUAUAGAUUAAGUGGGAAAGGAUGUUUUACUACUUAGACAACCAGGAUGUUGGCUUAGAAGCAGCCAUACAUUUAAAGAGUGCGUAAUAGCUCACUGGUCAAGUGGUAGAGCGCCGAAAAUGAACGGGGCUAAAAUCUAAUACCGAAGCUGUGGACUAAUAUAAUUAGUGGUAGAGGAGCAUUGUGUAAGGGGCGAAGCUAAGCUGGAAGGCGAAGUGGACUUUACAGAAGAGAGAAUGCUGGCAUGAGUAGCGAAAAGGAGGGUGAGAAUCCCUCCCGUCGAAAGCCUAAGGAUUCCUGAGGAAGGCUCGUCCUCUCAGGGUAAGUCGGGACCUAAGCCCAGGCUGAAAAGCGUAAGCGAUGGACAACAGGUUGAUAUUCCUGUACUAUCUUAGAAUGUUUGAGAGAUGUACUGACACAGGAGGAUAUGUUGAGCGUGUGAAUGGUAGAGCACGUCCAAGCAAGUAGUUUGAGUUUCGAGGCAAAUCCCGAAACUUAAUAAGAACGAGAUGUGAUGGGGAGCGAAAAAUAAGUAGUGAAGCAACAGAUUCCACACUGUCAAGAAAAGGUACUAUUGAGUGAUAAGAUACCCGUACCAAAACCGACACAGGUAGGCGAGGAGAGAAUCCUAAGACGCGCGGAAGAACCUUUGUUAAGGAACUCGGCAAAAUGACCCCGUAACUUCGGGAGAAGGGGUGCCAUUGGUUGUGAAAUCUGAACGGAUGGAGCAAUUGAUGGCCGCAGAGAAUAGGCCCAAGCGACUGUUUACCAAAAACACAAGUUUCUGCUAAAUCGAAAGAUGAAGUAUAGGAGCUAAGGUAGCGAAAUUCCUUGUCGGGUAAGUUCCGACCCGCACGAAAGGUGUAACGAUUUGGGCACUGUCUCAACAAAGGAUCCGGUGAAAUUGUAGUAGUCGUGAAGAUGCGACUUACCCACGAUAGGACGGAAAGACCCCGUGGAGCUUUACUGUAGGCUGGCAUUGGAAUUUGGUAUUAAAUGUACAGGAUAGUUGGGAGACGAAGAAACAAGGGCGCCAGUUUUUGUGGAGUCAACGUUGGGAUACCAAUCUUUUAAUACUAAAUUUCUAACUUGAUACUCUGAAUCGAGUAUAAGGACACUGUCAGUUGGGCAGUUUGACUGGGGCGGUCGCCUCCUAAAGAGUAACGGAGGCGUUCAAAGGUUCCCUCAGAAUGGUUGGAAAUCAUUCACAGAGUGCAAAGGCAAAAGGGAGCUUAACUGCGACACCAACAAGUGGAGCAGAUAGGAAACUAGGACUUAGUGAUCCGGUGGUACCGCGUGGAAGGGCCAUCGCUCAACGGAUAAAAGCUACCCCGGGGAUAACAGGCUUAUCUCCCCCAAGAGUUCACAUCGACGGGGAGGUUUGGCACCUCGAU